UACAUUACUCAGCUAGGUUGAGGAGAAAAAUACAAACCAUUGACAGCUACAUUGAUAGCUACAAUGAUAGUCUAGAUGUGGUAUGGGACUCCAGAUGGAAGUACUGAAGAUUAAACAGAUGUUGGAAGGUGAAGAGAUGGGAGGGGAGAAUGAUGUACUGUUUAACUUAACAACCUGGAUCUGACUAUGUAGGUCAAGUAUUGACCCCAACCUACUGCAGCUAUUUUGGACAAGUUCGAACCUACAUUUCUUCACAGUCUUCUUAUACGAAGAACGGCGCUAAGUGCUGCUGCAUACAAAUUUGUGAGGAUCAAGUGAAAAUAUGCUAGAAAUCAGCCAGCACACAAUGUAAGCAGCGAUAAAAUGUUGACUCAAUAUGUUCUGUCUAAAUUUGGCCUCAGCUGUAGUCAAAAUUCUUUGAUUCUCCCGCUCCAGGGGGCUUCAAAUCCUUUCAUUCUAUCAACUUUUCAGAGUCUCUAAUCCACUAUUUCUCCUCACUUCCCAUCUUCCCAGUUAAGAAGCCAUAGUCAAGCAUCAUCUCUCCUUUGCACAUAGCGGUCUGUUUCUUGCCCUUCUCCAACUUUGAUACAAAGUUUGACAAAAUCACAUUCUGACAAAAUUCAACAUUUCGCCUCCUCCAUGUCUGCACCCAUGAAGCUGAAAGUGCCUUAAAAAAAAAGCUCAUGUUGUUCCUAGUUGGUUUCACUUUAAGUUCAUAUCUAGGAAUUUCAAAGUGAGUCCUUCAUGCCAC
Non-coding RNA from Equus caballus (horse), 751 nucleotides. Lineage: Eukaryota; Metazoa; Chordata; Mammalia; Perissodactyla; Equidae. The record is from RefSeq and is a predicted model, not a curated record.